This 478-nucleotide ribosomal RNA is filed under the name uncultured bacterium. Its description in RNAcentral is "partial 16S ribosomal RNA". It matches the Rfam family "Bacterial small subunit ribosomal RNA", at positions 28 to 507 of the family's 1533-position model. The record is from RNAcentral.
GAUGAACGCUGGCGGCGUGCUUAACACAUGCAAGUCGAACGGGAAACCUUUUAUUGAAGCUUCGGCAGAUUUAGCUGGUUUCUAGUGGCGGACGGAUGAGUAACGCGUGGGUAACCUGCCUUAUACAGGGGGAUAACAGUCAGAAAUGGCUGCUAAUACCGCAUAAGCGCACAGAGCUGCAUGGCUCAGUGUGAAAAACUCCGGUGGUAUAAGAUGGACCCGCGUUGGAUUAGCUGGUUGGUGGGGUAACGGCCCACCAAGGCGACGAUCCAUAGCCGGCCUGAGAGGGUGAACGGCCACAUUGGGACUGAGACACGGCCCAGACUCCUACGGGAGGCAGCAGUGGGGAAUAUUGCACAAUGGGGGAAACCCUGAUGCAGCGACGCCGCGUGAAGGAAGAAGUAUCUCGGUAUGUAAACUUCUAUCAGCAGGGAAGAUAAUGACGGUACCUGACUAAGAAGCCCCGGCUAACUACGUG